AAAUUGAAGAGUUUGAUCAUGGCUCAGAUUGAACGCUGGCGGCAGGCCUAACACAUGCAAGUCGAACGGUAACAGGAAACAGCUUGCUGUUUCGCUGACGAGUGGCGGACGGGUGAGUAAUAUCUGGGAAACUGCCUGAUGGAGGGGGAUAACUACUGGAAACGGUAGCUAAUACCGCAUAACGUCGCAAGACCAAAGAGGGGGACCCUCGGGCCUCUUGCCAUCGGAUGUGCCCAGAUGGGAUUAGCUUGUUGGUGGGGUAACGGCUCACC
RNAcentral lists this ribosomal RNA (272 nucleotides) under Escherichia coli. RNAcentral's name for it is "partial 16S ribosomal RNA". It matches the Rfam family "Bacterial small subunit ribosomal RNA", at positions 1 to 269 of the family's 1533-position model. Lineage: Bacteria; Pseudomonadati; Pseudomonadota; Gammaproteobacteria; Enterobacterales; Enterobacteriaceae. The record is from RNAcentral.